Molecule: ribosomal RNA, 661 nt
Filed under: Microbacterium paraoxydans
Lineage: Bacteria; Bacillati; Actinomycetota; Actinomycetes; Micrococcales; Microbacteriaceae
Description: bacterial SSU rRNA
Rfam family: Bacterial small subunit ribosomal RNA
Source: RNAcentral
CACCCCGUAAACGUUGGGGAACUAGCUGUGGGGUCCAUUCCACGGAUUCCGUGACGCAGCUAACGCAUUAAGUUCCCCGCCUGGGGAGUACGGCCGCAAGGCUAAAACUCAAAGGAAUUGACGGGGACCCGCACAAGCGGCGGAGCAUGCGGAUUAAUUUGAUGCAACGCGAAGAACCUUACCAAGGCUUGACAUAUACGAGAACGGGCCAGAAAUGGUCAACUCUUUGGACACUUGUAAACAGGUGGUGCAUGGUUGUCGUCAGCUCGUGUCGUGAGAUGUUGGGUUAAGUCCCGCAACGAGCGCAACCCUCGUUCUAUGUUGCCAGCACGUAAUGGUGGGAACUCAUGGGAUACUGCCGGGGUCAACUCGGAGGAAGGUGGGGAUGACGUCAAAUCAUCAUGCCCCUUAUGUCUUGGGCUUCACGCAUGCUACAAUGGCCGGUACAAAGGGCUGCAAUACCGUGAGGUGGAGCGAAUCCCAAAAAGCCGGUCCCAGUUCGGAUUGAGGUCUGCAACUCGACCUCAUGAAGUCGGAGUCGCUAGUAAUCGCAGAUCAGCAACGCUGCGGUGAAUACGUUCCCGGGUCUUGUACACACCGCCCGUCAAGUCAUGAAAGUCGGUAACACCUGAAGCCGGUGGCCUAACCCUUGUGGAGGGAG